This 497-nucleotide ribosomal RNA is filed under the name uncultured bacterium. RNAcentral's name for it is "partial 16S ribosomal RNA". It matches the Rfam family "Bacterial small subunit ribosomal RNA", at positions 28 to 507 of the family's 1533-position model. The record is from RNAcentral.
GAUGAACGCUGGCGGCGUGCCUAAUACAUGCAAGUCGAACGGAAAGACGACAACUUGGCGGCGCUGAUGUUAGCCGCAGGCGGGAGAGUAACACGGGUAUAACCUACCGAUCAGACGGGUAUAACUUCGGGAAACCGGAUCUAAUAGCGUAUGAUAUUUUGAACCGCGUGGUUCAAGAGUGAAAGACGGUCUUGCGGUCACGUAUAGAUGGAUCCGCGCUGCAUUAGCUAGUUGGUAAGGUAACGGCUUACCAAGGCAACGAUCCAUAGCCGACGUGAGAGGCUGAUAGGCCACAUUGGAACUGAGACAGCGACAAUGCGACUAAGGGAGGGAGCAGUAGGGAAUGUGACGCAAUGGGCGAGAGUAUGGCGGAGCAACGGCGCGUGUGAGAUGACGGUGUUCGGUUCGUAAUGAUGUGUUAUUAGGGAAGAACAUAUGUGUAAGUAGCUGUGGCCAUAUUGACGGUACCUAAUGAGAAAGCCACGGCUAACUACGUG